This 442-nucleotide unclassified non-coding RNA is filed under the name soil metagenome. RNAcentral describes it as "partial contains 5.8S ribosomal RNA, internal transcribed spacer 2, and large subunit ribosomal RNA". The stretch from base 2 to 121 matches the Rfam family "5.8S ribosomal RNA", at positions 35 to 154 of the family's 154-position model. The record is from RNAcentral.
GGAUGAAGAACGUAGCGAAAUGCGAUACGUAGUGUGAAUUGCAGAAUUCCGUGAAUCAUCGAAUCUUUGAACGCAUAUUGCGCUCGAGACCUCGGUCGAGAGCAUGCCUGUCUCAGCGUCGGCUCACCCCUCGCCCACCCUUUCCCCUGGGAAAGGUGCCUGGACGGACGUGGCCGUCUCGCUCCCCCCGAGGGAGCGGGUCGGCUGAAGUGCAGGGCCCGCGGCGCGACCCGGACGAGAGGGCGCCAGCAUGGUAGGUGGCUGAACGCUGCAUGCCGCUGUCGCCUUGCAUCUCGGCCCGAACAAGGUCGCAUCAAUCGUCCGCUCGGCCACCAAGCAGGAACAGUCGCCCGGCCGCAGCAAUGCGGCAGGCGACUCAACCCUUCGACCUGAGAUCAGACAAGACCACCCGCUGAACUUAAGCAUAUCAAUAAGCGGAGGA